UAUACGACUCUCGGCAACGGAUAUCUCGGCUCUCAUAUCGAUGAAGAACGUAGUGAAAUAUGAUACUUGGUGUGAAUUACAGAAUCUCAUGAACCAUUGAGUCUUUAAAUGCAAGUUGCGCAUGAGGCCUUUCGGUUGAGGGCAUACCUGCCUGGGCAUCACGC
RNAcentral lists this ribosomal RNA (164 nucleotides) under Lilium taliense. RNAcentral describes it as "5.8S ribosomal RNA". It matches the Rfam family "5.8S ribosomal RNA". From Rfam's summary of the family: 5.8S ribosomal RNA (5.8S rRNA) is a component of the large subunit of the eukaryotic ribosome. It is transcribed by RNA polymerase I as part of the 45S precursor that also contains 18S and 28S rRNA. Lineage: Eukaryota; Viridiplantae; Streptophyta; Magnoliopsida; Liliales; Liliaceae. The record is from RNAcentral.